AUUGAACGCUGGCGGCAGGCCUAACACAUGCAAGUCGAGCGGAUGAAGGGAGCUUGCUCCUGGAUUCAGCGGCGGACGGGUGAGUAAUGCCUAGGAAUCUGCCUGGUAGUGGGGGAUAACGUCCGGAAACGGGCGCUAAUACCGCAUACGUCCUGAGGGAGAAAGUGGGGGAUCUUCGGACCUCACGCUAUCAGAUGAGCCUAGGUCGGAUUAGCUAGUUGGUGGGGUAAAGGCCUACCACGGCGACGAUCCGUAACUGGUCUGAGAGGAUGAUCAGUCACACUGGAACUGAGACACGGUCCAGACUCCUACGGGAGGCAGCAGUGGGGAAUAUUGGACAAUGGGCGAAAGCCUGAUCCAGCCAGGCCGCGUGUGUGAAGAAGGUCUUCGGAUUGUAAAGCACUUUAAGUUGGGAGGAAGGGCAGUAAGUUAAGACCUUGCUGUUUUGACGUUACCAACAGAAUAAGCACCGGCUAACUUCGUG
This 484-nucleotide ribosomal RNA is filed under the name uncultured bacterium. RNAcentral describes it as "partial 16S ribosomal RNA". It matches the Rfam family "Bacterial small subunit ribosomal RNA", at positions 30 to 507 of the family's 1533-position model. The record is from RNAcentral.